AAAUGAAACUAGCAUACUUAUCGAAAGGUAAGGACGCAAAGCCAUGAGUCUAAGGAAAGUUAAAUUCUUUCUAUGAUUGUCAGGUUGCCAAA
Molecule: non-coding RNA, 92 nt
Filed under: Clostridium puniceum
Lineage: Bacteria; Bacillati; Bacillota; Clostridia; Eubacteriales; Clostridiaceae
Description: c-di-GMP sequence
Rfam family: c-di-GMP-I riboswitch aptamer
About the family: GEMM was predicted in a large-scale screen for bacterial structured RNA regulatory elements. Genes associated with GEMM are involved in a diverse array of functions, including chemotaxis regulation, signal transduction, secretion and chitin.
Source: Rfam by way of RNAcentral